RNAcentral lists this long non-coding RNA (11796 nucleotides) under Gallus gallus (chicken). RNAcentral describes it as "lncRNA (ENSGALG00010015609.1)". The record is from RNAcentral. Lineage: Eukaryota; Metazoa; Chordata; Aves; Galliformes; Phasianidae.
GGAAGAUGUUGAAAGCAGUGGACUGGGAUCCAGGGGAUGUAGAUUAAAUUCCUUGUCUCUGCUGCAAACUUCCUGUGUGGCCUGGAGCAAACUGCAGCACUUGGUCUGUGUUUUAGUUUCAGACACGUGUGGGGUGCAGCUAAUGAGCCCUUUCUCCUGCCCUUUGUCUCCUUACUCUUCUUAGAGAUGUUCUUUAGAGAAGGUCUGCAGAGAUUCUCUGGGGCACAUGGAAGUUUCAAUGGGAGGCCCAAAACACAGUAAGGUGUGUUUCUUUAGUGAAGAGAAGCUAGAGAACUUAAUCUCAUAUCACAGGAUCUGAAGCUGCCCAGCUGGAAGAGCAGAGAAUGGAAGUGUUGAGGGCAUUCAUGAGCAAGACAUGCCAGAUUCUGCUAUCACUCCUACUGGUAGCAGAUUGCUGCUGCACAAAGAGGAAAACAUCUCAGCCAGAAAAACUUCCUAGGCCAUGGCAGUAAAAUGGACAGAGAAGAGAGUCACCAGAAAGGAAGCGAGGAAACCAGAAACAAGACCACUGACACUUUGUUUCAUCCAAGGAAGUGGCAAAUCCUUUGACCUCCAAAAGGCAAACACCACCAGGAACUGCUCAGGGAACUUAGAAAGCUCAGCCUUCAAUCAAAUUGGCUUGAAACUGGCUAACUGAUUCAGAAGUUACUGGGAAGACACAAAGGUACACAAGUACAGUGUGAUAAUACAACCUCUGCUUGUUAUCAAAGCCAGGCUAAAAGAUAGUCUGAUUACUCCAAAGAAGAUAACAGAAACUGUCAGGAAUUGAUUGUUAUUUAUGGUCUGAUUUCAAGGUAGACUCUAAUUUACUUAAAAUACAUAUAUAUAUAUAUAUAUAUUUCAAAUCCAAGUUUGCACCCUGUAGACGUUUUAAAUAGUUAUGAAUUUGAAGAACUCUAAAUUUGCAGGAUUUGUUGAGAUUGAUUUGGAAGAAAACCUAUAAAAUUUAGAAACUAUGCAUUUCUUUUGACAACUAAUAAACUUGUAACUUCUAAUAACAGUGGGUCUCAAGCAAUCAAAAUAUAGCACUUUAAAAUACCUAUUUUAGCUAUUUUGUAGUACAAGAGUUUAGGAAAAAAAGUAUAUUAUUCCACACUAAAUGUUAUUAAAUGAAUGAUUCUCUAUGAAAACCAAAACCCUAAGGGAUUUUGUAUUAGAUUUGCAUAAAAAAAUCUUCACAUUUAUUCAAACUUUGCAGGUGCAUGAAAUAAACACAUUAUUUGAACACUACUGCCAAGCUUUGUGAAGGCUAAGGUGUAUUAUUAAAUUGUAGUGAAGCCUCUGGCUCAAGACACCAGAAACACUAGCACAACUCCAUUCAGUCAUUAGCACUGUGUUGGUAAAAAAAACUGGUUCACCAUCUAGAUGAAUAAUUCUCUGUGCUUUCAUCUCUGCCAUGCUGACUUGCUUUACUAAUUUGUUAUCCUCUUGAACGUUCAGAGGCAUUUUCACUUUUCUGUAUUUUCUAUCUUACAUUGCUUUCUGUUAAGUACCUGUAAGUGAUUCACUGGGGGAUGACAUAAGGUUUUUUCUGAAAUUGAACUAUUGCUUUGUUUGCUGUAGAGAAUAUUAAAUUAAAUCAGCUUCUAAGACAAAAAUGAGCAGUUCGUAUAAAACUUGCUCUGAAAGGUUAAUGAAUAUCAGAAAUCCUCCCAAGUGAAGGAAGGGAGACUAUACCUAGCCAAUAUAAAACUUAUGCAGCAAAACCUGCUCCUUUAAUGUAAUUCUUCUGAUUUCAGUGAGGUUACACUCAGAAUAAAUUUGACCUGAAUUAAUCAAACCUAUCCUAUUUUCAGGAGAGGUCCAAUAUCCAACAAGGAAACAAUACCCUUCACACGCCAGUAGUUUAUUGGCAAAGUCAAGGUCAUUGUGUGGUCAUAAAACAGUAUGGCUUAUUUCUGCUAUGACAUCUGUUUGACUAGCUCAAACCAAAAUUUUUUAUUAAGGCAUUUGAGGAGUAUAAAAUAUACACAAAAACUGAAAGCUACUACAAUAAGAGGAAAGUUCAUUGUGAAUUAAAUUAAUUCUGUAUUUAAGAAAAAAAUGUGAAUGAAUGAUGUUUUUGAUACCUUACAAGUGUUAGUUAUUAACCAGAGAGUGAGAUCAGUUCUCAUAGGAGAGUAACAGUCAGACCAAAAGAUGACAACACAGAAAUGUAACCUGUGCGUUUACCAUUCAGUCUUUUAUAAAAGGACCAGAAAAUAACUCUGGGUGCAAUUUCAUUUUAUUUAUUUAUUUUUUUAAGAAAUUCAGCAGUUGAGGUGUUCAGAGGCAGGAAGACAAUGAGACAAUUUGUAGCAAAUGACAGAUAAACCAUAAUUCUUAGAAAACAUAAUUGGAGUAACUUCAGUGACCUUUUCUAUACAAAGCUGAUCCUUUAUGUGGAAGACAUCUGUAUUUCCUUUGAGAAGAGCACCUGGAGGAAUUAAGCUCCUAUUUAAGAUACCUCAUCUGAAAGCCUAAAAAGUGAGCGCAUCCUGACCAGUGCAUCCUUUUGCCUUCACUGUGCAAACUUACUUUUCAUGUUUUUACAGAGUUAUUUUAGAUUUAUAUACAAAUAUGAAGUGCAAAAUGAAUGUAACCCAGCAUGUUUAUCCUAUUCAUAGUGUUGGAUGAGGCUCCGCUACAUCUAUGCUUCAGUAAAGAUUGUUAAUUUGGUAAAACUUUCAAGAUCAUGAAACACUGUCUGUGCACUGAGCCAAGCAGUCACAAAGCCUACAUCCCUUACAGAGCACAGCACAAGGGCAGGAUGGUGUUACAGCAGAAUACCACUGCACCAUUGUCAUACUUGCGCACUCCUUGCCAGGUAUCUGCCAGAAAGACCUGAGCCUGGGUUGCACUGACGUGUGUGCUGUCAUAGUUCAACCUGUGUUCUGUUUUGUUUUGGUUUUGUUUGUGGGUUGGUUUUUUUGUUUGUUUGUUUGUUUGUUUUGUUGUUGUUGUUUCAAUUUUUUUCUUUUGUUUGUUUUACAUUUUAAUGAAAGAAAAGCGUCCAAAUCUUCCAAUUCAAUUUAAAGAGUGGAUGAUAUGGGGUUGGAGGAAUACCCACAGCUAGACAUUGCUAAGGCUAUGAGGAUGUGAGGAGGAGAAAGGCCAAAAGCAAUGCUAGACAUAAGGGUGCCAUUUAAAACAUGUUGGUAUUAGACAACAGUCAUGAAGGGUAUCUCUUAGGCCAAGUCAUAUCUCUGUGCCAGGAGACGUUUACAUGAUACUUGUCAAGUUCCUUCAUCAGUUCUUGGAGUCAAUGCAGUUUCUUGGAAUCAGUGCAGUUUUAAGUUAUCCAGUGUAAAGAGAAUUUUCCUCUCUUUCUGGUGUAGUCUGGUGUAGCUCAGCAAACACUCCCACACUGCAUCUGGGGUAUCACUCCAUGCAUUCUUCCUCUCAGUCUCAUACUGCUGUAUGGGGAGGAGGAUUCAGCAGACAUUGGAGGUCAACUUCUUAUGGAACAACACAGUCACCACCAUUAACUAUGCAUUUUCACCAAAGGUGAACAAAAGCCUGCAUGUCGUGCUCAUCAUAAUCUGCACCAGCGGAGGUUAACCACUGUCAUCAGGGGACUAAUGUUUAGCCAGUGUAUCAAAAUCCAUAAACUUAUUUUCAAUAACCUGAGCUGGUACUGCACUGCCCUCUGUGCCCUGGUUUCAGCCCAGAUGGGGUUAAGAGCACACUGAUGAUCAGUUGGUGCUGAAGGCCAGGCCAGGCAGAGAAUAGCCACCCUGUGAUGGCACGAGUCAGGGGGCAGCCGCAGCAUGAGCUGUGCUGGGCUAAAUGUGGCCUGCAAGCCACAGCGUGGACAUGCCUGACUAAACAGACAAGGUACCCCUUUCCUCGUCUCUUUACCACUCUUCGCUGUCAGAUCAGAAACAAAAUACAUUAGUUGGUAGCCUGUGUUUUCCUAUCCUGAAAAGAAAUACAUUAGAAAAUGGAGUAAAAAGUAUGAGUAAAUGUUUCUCAUUGUGCUAUUUGUAUUCUGUCUUUUGCAGAGUAUAUUAUAAUGGAUAAAAGGAAUAUUACAUCACCAGAGGCAGAAAUUCAGUGCAUGGUUCACUGCAGAUUACAGAGCCUGAAAAAGCAAAACAAAGACAGUAAACAUGUUGCCUUUUGUUCAUACAACAUAACUAUAGCAGCAAUGACUAGUGGGAAAUUUCUCAACUAACCCUUCAAAUGUAUAUACAUUUUAUAAGCUUCUUGAAAAUUACAGUAAACUUGGAGAAUACUAUUUCUGCAAGCUUUUUGUACUUGAGUAACUCAACGACAGCAUCUUUAACAGAUUUUUACUGGCAUAUUAUAAAUGACGAAUAUAUAUUAUAUCAACACAAAUGCCAAGAAAAAACAACAACAGAAACAACACAGCCCUCCCACCCAAAUCACAUAAUAUAAAGGCAAAUAGCAUUGCUUCCUCCUCACCAGAACUCAGUUGCAUGAUGUGCUUACAGGAAUCAAGCAAAACAGUGAUGUUCAUAUAGUUCAUACAAUUUUGAGUAUCAUAGAUAUGAGCAAGCUGAUUCCAGCUGAGACAUAAACUAUAUUCCCAUGUUUCUGUAUUCACACUAGGCUGGGCAAUCUGAGUAUUACUGUUGUGAUAUUGAGUCUUCUCAAUCGUAGUAAAAUUUUAAGUUCAUUUUUUUCUAACUGGAAUUCCUUCUGAUUUUUGUUCUUAAUUGAAAGAAAGCUAAAGCCCCACAAAUAAUUCUUCUCUACCUAGGUUAAGGCACUUGUUUUUUUUAUCUCAUUACAGAUUUGUAAAAGUAAUUAUUAACACUGCUUUCCUGCUUCUGUUUUAGGAACUAAGAAUAAAUUCCUGCUUACCGUUACAGCAGGAGUGGAGAGAAAAGCAUAUUUAAAAUCAGGUGAAAAAUAUGAGAUACAAAGGAAGACAGAGUUUGUUCUGCAACUGGCUUUACUGGUCUCUUCUAGGAGUUGCCCAAGUCUCCCUGUCUCAGCCUGAAUUCCAGGGGGAUGCCAUGCCACCAUAUCUACACAAAUAAUUGUGCUGUUUCCUUCACCUCAUUUGCAAUGUCACCAGAGGUCUGCAGUUUCCCAUUUUGAUCAAUCCUUCUUUUGAAUUAUCAUGCUCAGUUAGGGCUGUUGCCUGGGGUUAAGCAAGAACAUUUCCUAUUGUGCAGGUCCUCUUCCCAUCGUCUAGUGUGGAUGGUAGACACAGUAACCACAGGUUGCAGCAAAACAUUGGAUGAACAGAUAAUACUUGAGUAUUGAAGUUAAAAACAUGAAAAUUAGUCUCAAUCUUUCACUAUUAAUUUUCCUCCCCCCCCCAAAAAAAAAAGAAAAAAAGAAAAAAAAAGAGUUUAUUGAGCUGCAAGCUGCAGGUGUCUUGCUUUUAAAUUGAGCUUUCAUUGCACUUUAUAUUUGUCCUUAGGUGGAUAACCUCUUUGCUCCAUAUAAAGACCCUACAAGUGAAAUUUUCACACUGUGCCAUUUUAAAAAAUUCUUCUCUCUCGUCUUUCAAAUGUCUGUUUAGAGCUAGUCAUGCUAAAGCUUCUACUACUAAUCAAUGCAGAGAGCAUGUUCUGGUCAUUCACUGUGUCACCACUUUAAAAGGAGAAAAAGACAAACUACUGACAUCUUCAUAACAAGUUACACCAAACUGUAAAUCAGAGGAAAAUUAUUCAUGCUGUGUUCUGGAUGUGACAUAUUUAACUUCAGCCCAGGUUCUCUCUCAUGCUCCACCUGAAUUGUAAAGCAGAUAUCUCAAAUCUAAAAAUUCUUGACAGAGAUAAAAGAGAAAAACUACUCAUGCCAUCAGUGUGGACCAGAAUAUCAAAACACUUUCAGAUUUGCAGGAUAACCAAGACGGGUAUGUUCUACCCAUUCUUAUUCAUUUCUCCAGGUACCAGCACCCAGAUGCAGUAAAGGAGAAAUGAGUCAUGAAAACCCAACCCAUGAAAACCCAACCCAUGAAAACCUAGGCAUUCGGACAGAACAAAGAACAGUAUUUCUUUUGUACUGGGAAGUUAGAAGAGCCAUAACUCUAAUUUUUGCAGCCGGAGUGUCACCAAACAAAAGAGAAAAGAAAUGUUUAUUUGUUUUGUUUUGUUUACUUUCCUAAAUAAGUACUGGAUCUGUUAUUUCUAUCUUUUUUUACAGUAUUUGUGUGGCCUUCUUUGUCAUUUUCGCAUCUUGAAAAUAUUUACAAAUAGAAAUAAUAUGCACUACUCCAUGUGACACAGCUUUCCUGUUAAUGAAUUGAUUUUCAAGAUCACACAAGAUGGUUUUUCUUUGGAUAUUUCAUUCCAAAACCCAGGCAAGUGACCCAGUACUCCCACCAAUAUCUCACUGACAGUCAUCCCACCUCAUGAAUAUACAUACACAAGCUAGCCCAGACUACCUACCUCUUAUCUUGCCUUUUCACCAGUGUUUCUGAACUUGUUGAACCUGUCUAGGUUAGAGUGAAACAGGUAAGGAAAUUACCUAAUUUAUAUUGUCUGGCUGUAUAUUUUCUAAGUCUGAAACAAACAAAUAUUUUAUUUUCAACGACUUUUGAAUGAUUUUUAGUAUCAUUUUCAUGCUUCCAUUUUAUUUCAAGAUGCACAUGAUUUGCUAUAUUUCUGGAAAUAUGGAUAAGCAGUAAUAAAAACUAUUGUCCCAGGGAAAAACAAUAGCUAAAGCAUCUAGUAAUGAAAGAGACUGAAACAGAUCACCAUUGUCAAUCUAUCUUCAGGUAAUUCUCUCUUACAGGAAAUGUGGCUUGCUGAAUUAAUGAGCAACUCCUGGGAUUUUGGUUGGGCAAUCCAAGCCAAUAUCUAUGCUGGUUAAGAUCUUCACUGUCAAUGAAAACAGGAUUAUAUUUUGGAUUCACAGUCUGAACUAAAAACACCAAAGUAGAUGCCAGUGUGUUUGGAUCAGGCAAGUGUUCCUUCUUGGCACCCCCUUUUCUCCACUUUGAAAAUAAAUUUCAGUUUCAGUUUUAUACUAGACAAUUUCUUCGCUGCUACUCACCACAGUUUUCUGUUUCCUUAGAAAGGACAUAAUGCCCUGAGAUACACAGUCAUUGAUGACACCCUCUUUCCUGAACAUAAGCCUUAUGAUGUGCAAGAAUUUUUAACAGUAACCUCUGAAUUGGAAACAUAUUCAAAAAUAGAGACACAGAAUGAGGUAUGACCCUAGAGAUGUAUACACAUUCUUUUCUUCAGUUAACUGUUACUCUGUGGUCUUCAGGAGGAUAUUGAUGUGAAAAGGUUAUUCGUGUGCAUAAGUAUCUGUAGCUGAGCCAGACUUACAGAGUGUAAAGAUGUGCAAGCCUGGUUAUAGGAAUGGAGCUUCACCUCUCUGGCCUUCACUUCAUUCUUAGUGGAGAGAAAGAUGCAAUUCCAGAGGACAAAUUGUGCCAUUCAUAUCAGCUUGGAAUGUGUUACUAACCCGUCUGGAACUGAAUAUAUGAAAGUACUUAAUUACUGUUUCAUCUUACCGAAUCAGCCUGUUUGUCAAUCCUUGGGAAGGUAAAUCCUGUAAGGCUCCUGAUAUUUUAAAUUUCUGAGUAGAUUCAGAAGACUCACACAAAAUUUCUACUAAAAAUCCCUGUCUUUCAAAUGUCCUUCGACAUACAUACAUUUGUUUUAAAUACAUUUGUACAAAGCAGAAUAACAGACUAAGAGAUACUUUGCCAGACAACAAUAAUUUUCCUUGGGCCAGCAUUUUAAAAUGAACUGUAAAUAUAAUUCUGAAUCUCAGAAUUAUCUUAUUUGAAUCUGCAUACCUGCAGUUCAACAGAUCAACAUGAUUAAAUGGAUCCAUGAUAUAUAUAUCCACUGAUAUACUGUCCUGAAUAACUUCAACUGACAUUGACCUUUCUUUAGCUUUUUUUUUUUUUCUGUUUCUUUGUGAUAUACUUUGAUCAUAUGUAAGAAUAUACUUUUUUUUAAGGCUUUCAAUUACAAUACAGAACUAUUAUUAUUAACUAAUUAAUUUCAUAGAAUAGAAUCAUAGAAUGGUUUGGGUUGGAAGGGACCUUUAAGAUCACCUAGUUCCAAUCCCCCUGCUGUAGGCAGGGAUAUGUCCCUCUACACCAGGUUGUUCACAGCCCCAUCCAGCCUGGCCUUGAAUGCGUCCAGGGAAGGGUCAUUCACAACCUCACUGGGCAACCUGUUCCAGUGUCUCACCACCCUCACAGUUAAGAAUUUCUUCAUAAUAUCUAAUCUAAAUCUACCCUCUUUCAGUUUAAAACCAUUUCCCCUCAUCCUGUAGCUCUUACAAAAAGUCCCUCCCCAGCUUUCCUGUAGGCAUACUUCAGGUACUGGAAGGCCACUAUAAGGUCUCCUCAGAGCCUUCUCCAUACUGAAGCACCCCAGCUCUCUCAGGCUGUCCUCAUGUGGGAGAUGUUCCAGCCCUCUGAUCAUCUUCAUGGUCCUCCUCCGGACCUGCUCCAAUACAUUUCAAAUAUUUACUCUUAUUCUUACUUACUACAUCUUACACUGGCUUUUUCUUUUUCUUCCAUUUAAUCUCCAAGGUUCAGGCCCUCUUAUAGCAAUGUAAGGAAGCAUUUAAUACAAUACUUUAAUCAUCACUUGGGGUAAUGUUUUCAAACUAAAAGGUAGGAGAUUUAGAUUACACAUCAGGAUUUCUUUUUUCUCAGAGGGUGGUGAGGCACUGGCACAACUGCCCAGAGAAAUUGUGAGUGCCCCAUCCCUGGAGGUAUUGGAAACCAAGUUAGAUGGGGCCUGGGCAGCUGAGCUGGGGGGUGGCAGCCAUGCCCAAAGCAGAGGUUGGAACUAGGUAGACUUUAAGGUUCUUUCCAACCCAAGAUAUUCUAUGAUUCUGUGAUAAAAUACCAAUUUUCAAUUUGUUUUUAGUAUGUAAUUAUAUUACAGCAAAAACCUAUUAAAAACUUUGAGAUAUAAUUUUAUUUUUAAUAACAUUUUUUGAUAUGUGAUUAGCCUACAGUUGUUUUUCUUGCCAACAUUCUUUUUUUUAUUAUUAUUAACAAUCAAAAAGAUAAUAAGAAUCCUAUGGAACUGGUGGUCUAAAAGAACUGUAUAUAACUUCAAGUUUACACACUACAUCUAACAGAAACACUGAUUCACAUUUGGCAAAUGCAGCCAACUCUCAUUUAUCCUUAAGCAGGUAAUGUGCUCUGUUGAUCAUCCGUGCUAGGGAUACAAAACAUCAAGUCCAGCAGGGCAUUUAGUGAUACACGAAGCACAUUGUUAAUACAGCUGUACUGCUUCCAGGGCUGGAACAGACCCAGAUGUACACCUACUUUCCCACAGAGCUUUGAGUAAUAGGCUCAAUGGAUCCAAGUUUUAUCUGUGCAUGAGUUAAAGUUCACAAUCAAGAAUUCUGGAGAAUAGCCUGAGUCUUGCAAGCCCAGCACUGAAACAGGAUUUGUAACAUUGGCUGGCUCCUUGCAAUGGUACUUCUGCAUUAUAUUGUACAGACCCUGAUCUACUUGUUUUAUUCAUUCUUUUCCAUUAUGUAGCACAGCUGAGCUGUCUGUUACUCUGGAUUCUAUCAAGAUGUAAGAAGCAGUAUGAACACUGCAUAGAGAUUGUGUGAUCGUAUUCCAUACUUAGCACAUGACAGAUAGGGAAAAGUUUUCCAUGCUGUAUUGAACAACAGCCAAGGAACUAAUCCAAAGUCUACUGAAUCAGUGGGUAUCUUCUUGACUUAGAAUAUGCAGCCAGAGAAAUGCUUCAAUAGCCUGAGAGAGAUGUGUGCUCUAAGGGAGUCAAAGCAAAUGUUUUAAGAGAUUAAUUGCUCUAAUCAGUAAAUUCUACAGUAAAUAGAUACUAUUUAAUGACUGCAGAUGUUGCUUUGUGAACUCCUGGAGUAAUUGGGGUGGUGCCUAAAAAGCUGUCUCAUCGGUUUUAUACUUGAAUUUUAUUGGUAGUUGAGUGUUUUUUCAAUAGGAGCAACUAUUUAUAUCAGUUAUUUAGUAUGCAUACCUUACAAAUGAAACAGAUUAAUGUUAGUCAGUCAUAAUGUAAUUUUAAAGUAAAAUUUCUUGUAACAUUAGUCCACAGACCACCUCUAAAUUAAUAUCUGCAUUGAAAAUGUAAUUGAUUUUCUUUUUGUCUGUCAACAUUACCAUCAAUUUAGCCCUCCUGAAAGAGAAACUGAAGUUUCUUACUUAGAAGGACAGUAAGAAAAAUCAGCAACACUUCGCAGUCAAGGAGAAGGGUCAUUUAUUUUUUUCAUGCACGUUAUCCUUCUUACAGUCACAAAGAAAUAUACUGCACUAAAACUGAAAUGAUCUGUUGCUAGUGUUUAUUGCUCUUUUCUACAGAUUUUAUUGGAUCUCUACAAGGAAUACGAAAUCAUUCAGCAACAGUUUCAGAGGUGCCAAGUUAUGCAGCAUAAAUAGAUUAAUUCAAUUGUGUCUCUAUUGCUGUGAUUGUAGGAACCAAGUUAUCCUAAAUUAUGAACAAGCUUGAGUGACACAAUAGUUCAGUGUCCCCUGAGUCAUUUAGGACACCGACAAAGCACAGACAUCAUCAGACAUCAGUUUGGGUCCUGCUGAGUGCACUGUAGCAUUGAUGAGACCGCUACUUAGGACGCCAGCAACAUCCUCCCUUUUUCUUACCAGGGCUGGCCCCAGCACAGGAGCCUCCUCAUCCCUACAGGAAGAGAGCAAGGACAGCUGCUCUUCCUGGAGUUAGUUUGGAUCAUGCACGGCAGAAGCUCCACUGGGCCUGACACUUGUUAAGGAGAAUUUCCCUUCCUUGUCUGAUUAGCAAUUCCUGAAAUAGAAACAUAUACAUUUCCACAGAAAAAUAAUGUGAUCUCUCCAAAAUUCACUACUCCAGAAUGGUAGCAGGUAGAAAUAAAAGCAAUAGGUGGGACACUGCGCUUUAUCUAAUAAACCUGUCUGAGCCAAGAUUGCUGUAAGUUUUGGAUUAUGGAUCUGUGACCUGCAUAACUUGAUGUCAAUCAAAUGCAAGUUUAUCAUACAACUCCAACAUAAAAAUCGUUGAUGUUCAAGUAAGAACAACACAAGUGUACGGCAUUAGAAGUGUAUUAAGUAAAAAACAGGGAAAAAAUUAAAAUGGAAUUCUCUCCAAGAAGCAUUCUUUGAGUCGUCUCAAAUUACAGAAGAUGGAGGGCUCACCUUCCUCUACAUCUGUGUAGUUAAAUCUGUAGACUGUAAAUAUUCUCUCAGGUUGCUAAGUGAGUUUAUUUUGCACCGUUCCUGGCAUAAAACCAUUCACCAGCUUUUCUGUAAAGUCAUGUGCUUCAUGACUAGCAAUCCCCAAAGCCCAGAUUUUUGUAGCUGGAUUAUAGCCUGUUUGGCAAAUUAAUAUCCUGUGAUAUAGUUAUGAGGAAAAGCUGGACUGCCACAGACAGGCAAGUUUUCACCCUUUUGACCACCUCAGUCUCCAGCUUCCUGCUUACCAAAUAUGCUAUGUGUCUAGAGAUCUAUUCUCCUGUCAGCACCAGCAAAGCAGGGAUUAAGAGCUUUUUUUCAGUCAGUCUCCAUGGCAUCCUGUAUAUUUUGGAGAAAAUCUUUUGUCGUAGCAACUGAAAAGAGAGAGCCACAAAGGUGCUGUGAGUAUGGUGUGAUGCACUCAACCUUUUUGCUUGGUGCUUUCAUAUAUAUGGAAGACUUGGCCUUGUAACUGACAUUACAUUUCCUGAAUUAAUUUUGUUUCAUACUUCCUUUGAUUCCACAUGGUUAAGGCAUUCUGACCGCUGUUGUACUGUGAGCUGACAAGCUUUACAAAAUAACACUAGUCCUCAAAAACAUUUCUUGUGCAUCAACAGCUGAAUUACCUACUCUUUUCUGUACAGAGAUGCACUCUCUUAUACUCUAAGUAAUCUCUG